Mytilus californianus (California mussel) is the source of this 676-nucleotide long non-coding RNA. RefSeq lists it as uncharacterized. NCBI's taxonomy places the organism in Eukaryota, Metazoa, Mollusca, Bivalvia, Mytilida, Mytilidae. The transcript has 2 exons. The record is from RefSeq and is a predicted model, not a curated record.
UAGUUUAAAGUUGGAAAAAAUUGUUUGUACCAACAAAAAUAAAUACACGAAGUUAAUCCAGAAUUAUGUGUUUAUCAUUUUUUUUUUUAUGUUUAGGUUGCCAGCAAGAUGAAAAGAACAAUGCAGUUCAAAAGUCAAAAUGUGGAUAAGCUGCGGUACAAGGUCCUACUUUUGCAGAUUUUCAUAUUUUGCAUGAAUGAAUUUGAAGUUUAUAUCAUGGAGGGCAGAGAAAGAAAAGAAACACUUCAAUUUUCCUGCUUCUGAAAGAUCUUGUUCGAAGGAUUGAAAUUCAUCACUUAGAAUAAAAAGAGAAAACACAGAAACAAGACCAAAAUAAAUUCAAAGACAAAAGUCAGAUCAGUUAUUAUUUUCAUCACUCAGUCAAUGAAUUGAAGUUCUAUUAAAUAUCUAAAGAUAUUAAAACCACAAUAAUGACUAUGUUCUGUGCUGAAUGGCCAAAAAGUGGACUAUACAUUACGAUCACACAAUGCUGGAUGAUAAGAAACUAUUAAUUUUUUGGGUGGAGGGAUAUCCUGAAAAAAAAAUAGAUUUAUGUAAAAAGCUACUAGUAUGUUAAGCCUAUUAAUAGAGUUUUCAUUGAUUUCAAAUGGGAAAAAUUGUGUUUCAAAAAAGUAUUCUAGAAUUCAUAAAUAAACAUAUAUUGAUACUUACAUUA